CUACGGGGUGCUGCAGUGGGGAAUAUUGCACAAUGGGGGAAACCCUGAUGCAGCAACGCCGCGUGGAGGAUGACACAUUUCGGUGCGUAAACUCCUUUUAUAGGUCAAGAUAAUGACGGUAGCCUAUGAAUAAGCGCCGGCUAACUCCGUGCCAGCAGCCGCGGUAAUACGGAGGGCGCAAGCGUUACUCGGAAUCACUGGGCGUAAAGAGCAUGUAGGCGGGUUAAUAAGUCAGAAGUGAAAUCCAAUAGCUCAACUAUUGAACUGCUUUUGAAACUGUUAACCUAGAGUGUGGGAGAGGUAGAUGGAAUUUCUGGUGUUGGGGUAAAAUCCGUAGAGAUCAGAAGGAAUACCGAUUGCGAAGGCGAUCUACUGGAACAUUACUGACGCUGAGAUGCGAAAGCGUGGGGAGCAAACAGGAUUAGAUACCCCAGUAGUC
This 439-nucleotide ribosomal RNA is filed under the name uncultured bacterium. Its description in RNAcentral is "partial 16S ribosomal RNA". It matches the Rfam family "Bacterial small subunit ribosomal RNA", at positions 339 to 795 of the family's 1533-position model. The record is from RNAcentral.